This 301-nucleotide ribosomal RNA is filed under the name uncultured bacterium. RNAcentral describes it as "partial 16S ribosomal RNA". It matches the Rfam family "Bacterial small subunit ribosomal RNA", at positions 509 to 807 of the family's 1533-position model. The record is from RNAcentral.
CAGUAGCCGCGGGAAUACGAGGGGGGCGAGCGUUGUUCGGAAUUAUUGGGCGUAAAGGGUGCGUAGGCGGUUUGGCAAGUUUGGUGUGAAAUCUUCGGGCUCAACUCGAAGUCUGCAUCGAAAACUGCCGGGCUUGAGUAUGGGAGAGGUGAGUGGAAUUUCCGGUGUAGCGGUGAAAUGCGUAGAUAUCGGAAGGAACACCUGUGGCGAAAGCGGCUCACUGGACCAUAACUGACGCUGAUGCACGAAAGCUAGGGGAGCAAACAGGAUUAGAUACCCCAGUAGUCCCUGUCUCUUAUAC